ACGCUCGACACCUACGGGUGGCAGCAGUGAGGAAUAUUGGUCAAUGGGCGCUAGCCUGAACCAGCCAAGUAGCGUGAAGGAUGAAGGCUCUAUGGGUCGUAAACUUCUUUUAUAUAAGAAUAAAGUGCAGUAUGUAUACUGUUUUGUAUGUAUUAUAUGAAUAAGGAUCGGCUAACUCCGUGUCAGCAGCCGCGGUAAUCUGAGCGGCUGGCAAGGC
Molecule: ribosomal RNA, 217 nt
Filed under: uncultured bacterium
Lineage: Bacteria
Description: partial 16S ribosomal RNA
Rfam family: Bacterial small subunit ribosomal RNA
Source: RNAcentral